CACGUAAGAGGCAAGCGUUAUUCGUCAUUAAUGGGUCUAAAGGGUACGUAGGCGGUAUAGUAAAUCCUAUUGAAACACGUGAGAGUGGAUUUGAUAAUGCUGUACUAGAGUUUAAAGGGAGUAACAAAUACUUAAGCAGGAGUGUAACAAUAUGGGAAUAACUUAAGGGUUGCUAAGUGGCGAAGGCAUGUUACAAUAUUAAAUUGACGCUGAGGUACGAAGGCAUGGGUAUCGAUCGGG
This 240-nucleotide ribosomal RNA is filed under the name uncultured bacterium. RNAcentral's name for it is "partial 16S ribosomal RNA". It matches the Rfam family "Bacterial small subunit ribosomal RNA", at positions 524 to 776 of the family's 1533-position model. The record is from RNAcentral.